Lycium barbarum (goji berry) is the source of this 932-nucleotide long non-coding RNA. RefSeq lists it as uncharacterized. NCBI's taxonomy places the organism in Eukaryota, Viridiplantae, Streptophyta, Magnoliopsida, Solanales, Solanaceae. The record is from RefSeq and is a predicted model, not a curated record. The transcript is spliced from 2 exons.
CAUCCUUCCGUUUUAGGGGCUCCGGCUCCAUUUUUUUUCUUUGACAGAGAUAAGCAUACACAGAUAGAGACAAAAGGAAGCAUACACAGAUAGGGGGAAUCAUUUCUGGAUAGGAGGGAUUAUUAUAAAAAGAAAGAUGAUAGAUCAUCUUCUUCAUUUUUUUUUCCCCACUCAAAACCGUGACCCACCACCUCCACCACCUCCAUUCCUUUCCACCAUCUCCCUCCACCCCAUUCACCACCGUUAAACCAUCCCUUUCUGCCUGAUCCACCACCGUUUCUCAACCACCACGUCACCAACGUCGUAACCCACCUGAAACCGGUCACCAAAAAUCAUAAGACCACCAUAGAAAAACACAUACAACACCAAACAGAUCCUUAAACCCCCCAUUUUAAACCAGCACCAAAACCCAAAAACUCGAAAACCCGUCUCCAUUUUCUCAAAAAUCGCCCGCUCAACUUGAGCAAAAGAAAAAAAAGAGUUAAAUGCUGUUAAGUUAGUCGAUUCAUCGUCUGUUCGUUGGGAUUUCGCGUUGAGGUCAUCGGAUUCCGGUCAAGGCGUCGCGUCAUUUGUUCCGUUCGAUUGGAAGUUUUGGGUAAAAUUAAUUCAAAAAUGGAGAUUUUGAUUAGGGACACUGGGGUUGGUUAUAAAUUCAGAUUAAUAUCUCAUUGAAGCUUUGUUUUACAAUUAAGGCCCGUAGGCAAACGUUAGGGUCAUUUAAUUUGCGUGUGUUUGCUUUUUGCUCGCUUUUACAUAUUAUGUAUUCAUUCUCGGGUGGGAUGUCCCGGAAGAAAACUAAAAUGUAAAAAUGGAGGCCGCGGUUACGGUGAUAAAAUUAGGGGUAAUGUCGUUUUCUUUAUACUCUUCUCUGUUUGGAUAUUCUGCUUUGUUGUAAUUAAUGGAGGUCUUGUUAAUUUAAUUAUUCGGUCGUA